CUUAGGGAUGCCUAGCUACUGAAUCUUUGAUGUGUCAUCAGAGAUAACGUAAAGGAAAAUAAUGAUAUUACUUUACUAUUAGUGUCGUCCAAAUACUCGUGCCAGAAGACUCGGUAAGGCGAGAGACGCAAACGUUAUUCGUCUUGAUCAGGCGUAAAGGGUUUGUAGGCUGCUUUGAGAAUUUAUUAAUAAGUUUGCUAUUAUAAAUCUAAGUUUCACAAUAAAUUUAUAUCCUAAGUUUGCUAUUUGGUAAAUAUGGAAAUAUUAUAAAAUUAUUGUUUAGUUUAUAAUUUUAUUAAGAAGUCAAUUAAAGCUAGAAUCUAAUGGAGGUUAAAACAAUACUUAAGGUAGGAGUACUAACCGUAAAUAUUAAGCAGAGUUUUAAUGGCGAAGGCAUUUAUCCACUAAAGAUUGACGCUGAGAAACGAAGGUGAGGGCAGAAAAAAGGAUUAGAGACCCUUGUAUUCCUCACUGUCAACGAUGAAUGGUAGUUACUAGUUAGAAAUAAACUAGAGGCGAUGUUAACACGAAAACCAUUCCGCCUUGUGAGUACAACUGCAAAGUUGAAAACAAAAAAAUUAGUCGGUUUCGGAGCAAACGAAGUGAAGCAUGUUAUUUAAUUCAAUAAAUCCGCA
This 635-nucleotide ribosomal RNA is filed under the name Hymenochaete lictor. Its description in RNAcentral is "partial small subunit ribosomal RNA". It matches the Rfam family "Bacterial small subunit ribosomal RNA", at positions 387 to 965 of the family's 1533-position model. Lineage: Eukaryota; Fungi; Basidiomycota; Agaricomycetes; Hymenochaetales; Hymenochaetaceae. The record is from RNAcentral.